RNAcentral lists this ribosomal RNA (274 nucleotides) under uncultured bacterium. RNAcentral's name for it is "partial 16S ribosomal RNA". It matches the Rfam family "Bacterial small subunit ribosomal RNA", at positions 523 to 796 of the family's 1533-position model. The record is from RNAcentral.
AUACGGAGGGUGCAAGCGUUAUUCGGAAUCACUGGGCGUAAAGGACGCGUAGGCGGGUUGGCAAGUCAGAUGUGAAAUCCUACAGCUUAACUGUAGAACUGCAUUUGAAACUGCUAACCUAGAGUAUGGGAGGGGGAGAUGGAAUUAGUGGUGUAGGGGUAAAAUCCGUAGAUAUCUCUACGAAUACCGAAAGCGAAGGCGAUCUCCUGGAACAUAACUGACGCUAAGGCGUGAAAGCGUGGGGAGCAAACAGGAUUAGAAACCCUAGUAGUCC